CCUACGGGGGGCAGCAGUGAGGAAUAUUGGGCAAUGGGCGCGAGCCUGAAGCAGCCAAGCAGCGUGAAGGAUGACUGCCCUACGGGUGUUAACCUUCGUUUAUAAAGGAAUAAAGUGACUCUCGUGUUCCUCUUUGUAUGUACUUUAUGAGUAAGGAUCGGAUAACUCCGCUCCAGCAGCACCGGUAAGACGGAGGAUCCGGGGGUUGUCCGGAUUUAUUGGGUUUAAAGGGAGCGUAGAUGGGUCGUUAAGUCAGUGGUGAAAGUUUGCGGCUCAACCGUACAAUUGCAAUUGAUACUGGCAGUCUUGAGUACAGUUGAGGUAGGCGGAAUUCGUGGUGUAGCGGUGAAAUGCUUAGAUAUCACGAAGAACUCCGAUUGCGAAGGCAGCUUACUAAAAUGCAACUGACAUUGAGGAGCGAAAGUGUGGGUAUCAAACAGGAUUAGAUACCCUUGUAGUC
Molecule: ribosomal RNA, 460 nt
Filed under: uncultured bacterium
Lineage: Bacteria
Description: partial 16S ribosomal RNA
Rfam family: Bacterial small subunit ribosomal RNA
Source: RNAcentral